GGGGUGGUAGCUCAACUGGCAGAGCGUCGCGUUCGCAAUGCGAAGGUUGGGAGUUCAAGUCUCCUCCACUCCA
This 73-nucleotide transfer RNA is filed under the name Isosphaera pallida ATCC 43644. RNAcentral's name for it is "tRNA-Ala (CGC) (tRNA-Ala-CGC-1-1)". It matches the Rfam family "tRNA". From Rfam's summary of the family: Transfer RNA (tRNA) molecules are approximately 80 nucleotides in length. Lineage: Bacteria; Pseudomonadati; Planctomycetota; Planctomycetia; Isosphaerales; Isosphaeraceae. The record is from Rfam by way of RNAcentral.